AGCAGCCGCGGUAAUUCCAGCUCCAAUAGCGUAUAUUAAGGUUGUUGCAGUUAAAAAGCUCGUAGUUGAAUUUCGGGGUCAGUAGGUUGGUCGUGCCACCGGUACGUACUGGUCUCACUGAUUCCCCCUUCCUGAAGAACCGUAAUGCCAUUAAUUUGGUGUUGCGGGGAAACAGGACUGUUACUUUGAAAAAAUUAGAGUGUUUAAAGCAAGCUAACGCUUGAAUACAUUAGCAUGGAAUAAUGAAAUAGGACGAUCGAUCCUAUUUUGUUGGUUUCUAGGAUUGACGUAAUGAUUAAUAGGGAUAGUUGGGGGCAUUAGUAUUCAAUUGUCAGAGGUGAAAUUCUUGGAUUUAUUGAAGACUAACUACUGCGAAAGCAUUUGCCAAGGAUGUUUUCAUUAAUCAAGAACGAAAGUUAGGGGAUCGAAGACGAUCAGAUACCGUCGUAGUCUUAACCAUAAACUAUGCCGACUAGGGAUCGGAUGAUGUUAAUUUUAUAAUGACUCAUUCGGCGCCUUA
RNAcentral lists this ribosomal RNA (520 nucleotides) under uncultured Glomus. Its description in RNAcentral is "SSU rRNA". It matches the Rfam family "Eukaryotic small subunit ribosomal RNA", at positions 569 to 1090 of the family's 1831-position model. Lineage: Eukaryota; Fungi; Glomeromycota; Glomeromycetes; Glomerales; Glomeraceae. The record is from RNAcentral.